CCUACGGGUGGCAGCAGUGGGGAAUUUUGGACAAUGGGGGCAACCCUGAUCCAGCCAUGCCGCGUGCGGGAAGAAGGCCUUCGGGUUGUAAACCGCUUUUGUCAGGGAAGAAAUCUUCCGAGCUAAUACCUUGGGAGGAUGACGGUACCUGAAGAAUAAGCACCGGCUAACUACGUGCCAGCAGCCGCGGUAAUACGUAGGGUGCAUGCGUUAAGCGGAAUGAGUGGGGGCAAAGCGGGCGCAGACGGUUGACAUCCCCGGGAUUAACCUGGGAACUGCACUUGUGACUGUACGGCUGGAGUACGGCAGAGGGGGAUGGAAUUCCGCGUGUAGCAGUGAAAUGCGUAGAUAUGCGGAGGAACACCGAUGGCGAAGGCAGUCCCCUGGGCCUGUACUGACGCUCAUGCACGAAAGCGUGGGGAGCAAACAGGAUUAGAUACCCCUGUAGUC
This 450-nucleotide ribosomal RNA is filed under the name uncultured bacterium. Its description in RNAcentral is "partial 16S ribosomal RNA". It matches the Rfam family "Bacterial small subunit ribosomal RNA", at positions 338 to 795 of the family's 1533-position model. The record is from RNAcentral.